Molecule: ribosomal RNA, 319 nt
Filed under: uncultured Bacteroidales bacterium
Lineage: Bacteria; Pseudomonadati; Bacteroidota; Bacteroidia; Bacteroidales
Description: bacterial SSU rRNA
Rfam family: Bacterial small subunit ribosomal RNA
Source: RNAcentral
GAUGAACGCUAGCUACAGGCUUAACACAUGCAAGUCGAGGGGCAGCAGGACGAUAGCUUGCUAUUGUUGCUGGCGACCGGCGCACGGGUGAGUAACACGUAUGCAACCUGCCCCCUACAGGGGAAUAACCCAGAGAAAUUUGGCCUAAUACCCCGUAGUCCGCCGCGCCGCAUGACGUGGCGGGGAAAGAGUUAUCGGUAGGGGAUGGGCAUGCGGCGCAUUAGCUAGUUGGCGGGGCAACGGCCCACCAAGGCUACGAUGCGUAGGGGUUCUGAGAGGAAGGUCCCCCACACUGGUACUGAGACACGGACCAGACUCC